This is a non-coding RNA of Termitomyces sp. Mi166#008, 81 nucleotides long. The record is from the annotation of a GenBank genome assembly. NCBI's taxonomy places the organism in Eukaryota, Fungi, Basidiomycota, Agaricomycetes, Agaricales, Lyophyllaceae.
GGCGCUGUAGUGUAGAGGUUAUCACUCGAGAUUCUGACCUUAAGAUUUCUCGAAACCCAGGUUCGAUUCCUGGCAGUGCCU